AAAACACAGAACGAAAAAUAAGCGUAGUAACACUACCAGGAACCACCUCUUUCGCCAGCUCAAUCUCCCUUGAGCUGGCUUUUUC
RNAcentral lists this small RNA (85 nucleotides) under Lonsdalea quercina. RNAcentral's name for it is "CyaR/Rye RNA". It matches the Rfam family "CyaR/Rye RNA". Rfam says of the family: This sRNA was originally identified in a large scale screen of E. coli. It was shown to bind Hfq and called RyeE. This sRNA has since been characterised as a post-transcriptional regulator of the 18 kDa OmpX porin in Salmonella. Lineage: Bacteria; Pseudomonadati; Pseudomonadota; Gammaproteobacteria; Enterobacterales; Pectobacteriaceae. The record is from Rfam by way of RNAcentral.